This 145-nucleotide unclassified non-coding RNA is filed under the name soil metagenome. RNAcentral describes it as "partial internal transcribed spacer 1". The record is from RNAcentral.
UAAUAAGUGUUUUAUGGCACUUUUUAAAUCCAUAUCCACCUUGUGUGCAAUGUCAGCCGAUCUUCUUCAUGGAGAUCGACCAAACAUCAACCUUUAUCUUUUAACUCUUUGUCUGAAAAAUAUUAUGAAUAAACAAUUCAAAAUA